ACAAGAUCCAAAUCAAUGUCCUUCCGGGAGGAUUCCUUAAAAUCUUGUUUUCUCUCGUCUUCGGAAGAAGCCCGACAUUUCUUAAAGGAAAUGGAGCUCUUCAUAAGGUUCAUCUCAAAGAUCUCUCUUUGCAUAAUGUGUGUGUGGACCUGCCUACAGAUAUAUUGGGUGGAAGCCCUAGGAGCCUCAAGCAAGUCUGAAGAUUGGCCCUGAGAACCACUGUUCUCAUUAUCAGCAAGGAUUUUAUCCAGAGACCUCUAGGAAUACAUUCACUAAAAUGCGACUGUGGUCCUGUGGUUGUAUGAACUCUGGCUCUUCUCGUGGAUUACAUUUCACUGGAGUCAGGUGUUUUCUGUAAACAUCAUUAAACCACAAGACCAACUGCAUUGAACAUUUUUUGCACUACAUUGUUUUAUUUCUUGCUCGUCUUUUCCUUGCAGAGCUGGGGCUGGGGUGA
RNAcentral lists this long non-coding RNA (457 nucleotides) under Pongo abelii (Sumatran orangutan). Its description in RNAcentral is "lincRNA". Lineage: Eukaryota; Metazoa; Chordata; Mammalia; Primates; Hominidae. The record is from RNAcentral.